CUGCGGCUGCUACCAUGCAAGUCGAACGGAUCCUUCGGGAUUAGUGGCGGACGGGUGAGUAACACGUGGGAACGUGCCCUUUGGUUCGGAACAACUCAGGGAAACUUGAGCUAAUACCGGAUGUGCCCUUCGGGGGAAAGAUUUAUCGCCAUUGGAGCGGCCCGCGUCUGAUUAGCUAGUUGGUGGGGUAAAGGCCCACCAAGGCGACGAUCAGUAGCUGGUCUGAGAGGAUGAUCAGCCACAUUGGGACUGAGACACGGCCCAAACUCCUACGGGAGGCAGCAGUGGGGAAUCUUGCGCAAUGGGCGAAAGCCUGACGCAGCCAUGCCGCGUGAAUGAUGAAGGUCUUAGGAUUGUAAAAUUCUUUCACCGGGGACGAUAAUGACGGUACCCGGAGAAGAAGCCCCGGCUAACUUCGUGCCAGCAGCCGCGGUAAUACGAAGGGGGCUAGCGUUGCUCGGAAUUACUGGGCGUAAAGGGAGCGUAGGCGGACUGUUAAGUUAGAGGUGAAAGCCCAGGGCUCAACCUUGGAAUUGCCUUUGAUACUGGCAGUCUUGAGUACGGAAGAGGUAUGUGGAACUCCGAGUGUAGAGGUGAAAUUCGUAGAUAUUCGGAAGAACACCAGUGGCGAAGGCGACAUACUGGUCCGUUACUGACGCUGAGGCUCGAAAGCGUGGGGAGCAAACAGGAUUAGAUACCCUGGUAGUCCACGCCGUAAACGAUGAGUGCUAGUUGUCGGCAUGCAUGCAUGUCGGUGACGCAGCUAACGCAUUAAGCACUCCGCCUGGGGAGUACGGUCGCAGAUUAAACUCAAGGAUUG
RNAcentral lists this ribosomal RNA (820 nucleotides) under uncultured Caulobacter sp. RNAcentral describes it as "bacterial SSU rRNA". It matches the Rfam family "Bacterial small subunit ribosomal RNA", at positions 36 to 912 of the family's 1533-position model. Lineage: Bacteria; Pseudomonadati; Pseudomonadota; Alphaproteobacteria; Caulobacterales; Caulobacteraceae. The record is from RNAcentral.